Molecule: long non-coding RNA, 218 nt
Filed under: Elaeis guineensis (African oil palm)
Lineage: Eukaryota; Viridiplantae; Streptophyta; Magnoliopsida; Arecales; Arecaceae
Description: long non-coding RNA (EGUI_LNC053282)
Source: RNAcentral
UGGAGCAGUUAUUGGCUUACAAGAUUUUAGAGUAGCUUUUCAGUCUUCAGUAAACCUUUUAGUAGGCUUUUGGUAUCUCAUUGGCUGAAUAUGUACCUUAUCUUUUCUAGAUGAAGAUAUCAUCCAUUUUUGGAAAAGAACCUUAAUUCUAAACUCUUGAUAUUUAGGGUUAAUAUUUUUCAAACCUUUAGGAUAAUACUUUAUAAACUAGUCAAAGA